GCACUAAUCCCCCCAGGGGAACCUGGCCCUUAAUUCGAUGACCCACGAACCUCUUACCUUUUCUAGUUCUGCCUUUAGCCGGCUCUAAUAAAGGCAGCUAAUACAGGCGGAGACCUUUCAGUUUGCAUACCGCCGUUUCGUAGCUUGUAUCGCGAGAGGACCUAAACAGGCGCCACAGCGGCUUUACAUAAAAUAUAGCCUCUCUAUUAAUUCAGGUAAACGUGUAGCCCAUGGAAAGGGGAAGCUGGGUUACAAUUGGGGCUUAAGAAUAGAGUGACUACCUUAAGGGUAAGGCAAAAGAGGACUUGGAAGUAACAACCUUGGAUAAUGAGGUAGUGAAUAGAGCUCUAGUGUGUGU
RNAcentral lists this ribosomal RNA (358 nucleotides) under Scurria scurra. RNAcentral describes it as "partial 12S ribosomal RNA". The record is from RNAcentral. Lineage: Eukaryota; Metazoa; Mollusca; Gastropoda; Acmaeidae.